This 207-nucleotide ribosomal RNA is filed under the name uncultured delta proteobacterium. RNAcentral describes it as "partial 16S ribosomal RNA". It matches the Rfam family "Bacterial small subunit ribosomal RNA", at positions 568 to 774 of the family's 1533-position model. Lineage: Bacteria; Deltaproteobacteria. The record is from RNAcentral.
CGUGCAGGCGGUUCGUUAAGUCUGAUGUGAAAGCCCCGGGCUCAACCCGGGAAGUGCAUUGGAAACUGGCGAACUUGAGUAUGGGAGAGGGAAGUGGAAUUCCGAGUGUAGGGGUGAAAUCCGUAGAUAUUCGGAGGAACACCAGUGGCGAAGGCGGCUUCCUGGACCAAUACUGACGCUGAGACGCGAAAGCGUGGGGAGCAAACA